RNAcentral lists this long non-coding RNA (1684 nucleotides) under Homo sapiens (human). RNAcentral's name for it is "HSALNT0256932". Lineage: Eukaryota; Metazoa; Chordata; Mammalia; Primates; Hominidae. The record is from RNAcentral.
GUAGUGGGGAACUGGCUGACGAGGCUGCUGUGUGCGGCCAGGUGAUCCCCCGUGGUGGUCUGGUGGGCAGAGGUGUGAGGUGGAGAGAAGCAGGUAGGACUGAGAGCAGGGUGAGUGUGGCAUGGCCACCCUGGCCUGAGGUUUCACCUCCCAGAAAGCCCCCUCCUGGAAGCAUUUGGCGAGUGUCAGGCCCAGUUCCCUUUGGACCCAGGCCACUUCAGGCCUCCUGGGUCUGACAGGGAAAUCCUUGGGGCCUUGAAGCUUCUCUCAUCUAGGGGCCGAGAUUCGGGAUAGCAAAAGGCACCACUGAACACCCCCAGAAUCCCACAACAGCAGAAGGGACCUGCCCUGCCUGCCACCCUCCUUCACCAGGCUCCAAUUCCCACGCAGCCUCCCACCCCCACCCCACAGCUGCUGCUGUGCCCCACCCCCAGGUUCCUAACCUGGACGACCCUCUGCCCACAGAGCCCCCAUUAUUCUAAUGACCAGUUAGACAGGAAGAGAAUGUUCCAAGUGGCUGCUAGAGGCCAAAGCUUUGGGACAGAAGAAGAGGAAUGCAUCGCCCUCCCGCCCUCCACUUCCUCCCUGCACCCUCCUGCGGGGGCAGCAGUCAGAGCUGUCACAAGAUGGAGGUGGAGGAAUGAGCCAUGUUCCCAGCCUGCCAGAUUCCUCACCCCGAAUGCAAACGCACCUCCUAUGUGCUUUCCUGGGAGCUGCGCUGGCCUGCCCCGGGGGGACUCUGUCUGACUUCACCAUGAGCUCCUUUUCCUCACCCCGUCCUUCAACUUCAUCCUAUGUCAGCUGCAGACAGGCUGAGGUUUGAAUUUGGCUCUGUUUACUGGGGUGUCCCAGGGCAUGUGACUUUCCUGCCCUGAGUCUCUGUCUCCGUCUUUAUGUGUGGACCCCCGAAGUGUCCUCUUCACCAUGUUCCUCAGUCUGGGAUUUGAGGCUCUGCCUGCCCUGUCCGCUUGAUCACUCUGCUUCAGCCUCCCUUCUGCCCCUUGAACAUACCAGGCUCCUCCCCACCCCAGGGCCUUGGCUUUUGCUAUUCUUGCCCCUGCAUUACCUGCCACGAUGUGCCAGGCCUCCUCCUCCAGGAAGCCCUCGCUGACUCCCAUCCCAUAGCAGUCCUCCUUCUCCUGCACUCUGCCUACCUGGCCUUAUCAUGCUGCAAAAUUGGCCAGAGGGCAGACAUCUCCCACUCAGAGAGUUGAAGGAAAGAGUCUCAGGAUUCAUCCCCUCAAAACAUCCACCAUCUGUAGGUCUGGCUCUAUGUCUUUGUUCAUGUCCUGUGGCUCUGGAGACACCAAGGGGGAAAGACCCAGUUUCCCAACUUGCUUCCUGCAUGAUCCUGGGCAAGCCACUCGGCUUCUCUGAAUCAUUAGUUGUUUUUCCAACUUUUCUAGGCCUGGCUCUUUUUAUUUAUGUUUGUGUUUUUUAUUAUUAUCUUAGAGACAAGGUCUUGUUCUGUCGCCCAGGCUAGAGUGCAGUGGCGUGAUCAUAGCUCACUGCAGCCUCCACCUCCCAGAUUGAAGUGAUCCUCCUGCCUCAGCCUCCUGGGUCACCGGGAUUACAGGUGUCCACCACCACGCCCAGCCUAGUCUGACCAAUUGUGUAGGUCACCCGAAUAUUCAGUUUUGCUCCGAGAGGUGGAGACGGACCCCAGUCAUUCAGUGAAGUGGAU